GACGAACGCUGGCGGCGUGCUUAACACAUGCAAGUCGAACGGAAAGGCCUCUUUCGGGGGGUACUCGAGUGGCGAACGGAUGAGUAACACGUGAGUAACCUGCCCUUGACUUUGGGAUAACUUCAGGAAACUGGGGCUAAUACCGGAUAGGAGCUCCUGCUGCAUGGUGGGGGUUGGAAAGUUUCGGCGGUUGGGGAUGGACUCGCGGCUUAUCAGCUUGUUGGUGGGGUAGUGGCUUACCAAGGCUUUGACGGGUAGCCGGCCUGAGAGGGUGACCGGCCACAUUGGGACUGAGAUACGGCCCAGACUCCUACGGGAGGCAGCAGUGGGGAAUAUUGCACAAUGGGUGGAAGCCUGAUGCAGCAACGCCGUGUGCGGGAUGACGGCCUUCGGGUUGUAAACCGCUUUCGCUCAUGACGAAGCUUUGUGUGACGGUAGUGGGUAAAGAAGCACCGGCUAACUACGUG
Molecule: ribosomal RNA, 467 nt
Filed under: uncultured bacterium
Lineage: Bacteria
Description: partial 16S ribosomal RNA
Rfam family: Bacterial small subunit ribosomal RNA
Source: RNAcentral